CCUACGGGAGGCAGCAGUGAGGAAUAUUGGUCAAUGGGCGGGAGCCUGAACCAGCCAAGUCGCGUGAGGGAAGACGGUCCUAUGGAUUGUAAACCUCUUUAGGCGGGGAGCAAUGCCGGGCACGUGUGCCCGGAGGGAGAGUACCCGCAGAAGAAGCAGGGGCGAACUCCGUGCCAGCAGCCGCGGUAAUACGGAGGAUGCGAGCGUUAUCCGGAUUUAUGGGGUUGAAAGGGUGCGUAGGCGGAUUUUUAAGUCAGCGGUAAAAUGUCCGGGCUCAACCCGGGCCGGCCGUUGAAACUGGGGAUCUUGAGUGGGCUAGAAGUAUGCGGAAUUCGUGGUGUAGCGGUGAAAUGCCUAGAUAUCACGCAGAACUCCGAUUGCGAAGGCAGCAUACCGGCGCCCGACUGACGCUGAGGCACGAAAGCGUGGGGAUCGAACAGGAUUAGAUACCCGUGUAGUC
This 460-nucleotide ribosomal RNA is filed under the name uncultured bacterium. Its description in RNAcentral is "partial 16S ribosomal RNA". It matches the Rfam family "Bacterial small subunit ribosomal RNA", at positions 338 to 795 of the family's 1533-position model. The record is from RNAcentral.